This is a long non-coding RNA of Sinocyclocheilus grahami, 2174 nucleotides long. RefSeq lists it as uncharacterized. The transcript has 2 exons. Lineage: Eukaryota; Metazoa; Chordata; Actinopteri; Cypriniformes; Cyprinidae. The record is from RefSeq and is a predicted model, not a curated record.
ACUAAAAAAAGGUUGGGAAACACUGCCCUAAAGUACGCUUCCUCUUCCUGUUCUGUUUAAAAACAGGUCUAUCGGUAAAGAUAAGAAGGCCAUCCAGGCUUCCAUUAGAAGAAACAAAGAAACGAAUACGGUUUUAGCCAGACUCAACAGUGAAUUACAGCAGCAGUUGAAGGACCUGCUAGAAGAAAGAAUAUCGCUUGAAGUGCAACUGGAACAGCUUAGACCAUUUUCGCAUUUGUAAAAAGAGUGUGUGUUCGCUUCAGAUUGAAUGUUUGUGUGUAUGAAAGAGUGAUUACCCCAGUUGUUUUUUUUUUUUAGUGGUCUGUUGGAUCCUCUGGCAGGAUGUCCAUUUCACCCUUUCUCCACUCCUCUGCUGACUGUGUGAGAAGAGACACGAUCGCUGCUUCCUCCAGACUGUUCUGUCUCACACAGCCAUUCAGAGGGAUGGGGUCCAGGAACAUUAUCCGUUAUGGCACUUUGAUGAAACAGAAAGUCUGAGUGGUUGCGUGUGUAAUACCCCAGACAUUGCAGGUUCUGUUUAGCAUGUGAGGCAAGAGCCUGACGUCAUGGCUGGCAGGAGGCUGUAAUUCUGGUAAACAUGAAGGAGCCUCUUCCCCUCCUGUUCUCCAGAGUCCUGAGGCAGCUUGUCAUGUUCUUCCGUGUUAGAGGCACCCGUGUGUGCUCAGACAAUCAUGUUAGGCCAUGCACUGGUCGUAAAGAGGGUAGAACUGAUUUUUGGGAGAUCAUACUAUUUCAGAAGUACGCUUUCUGACAUGCACUUGUUAAAAAGACAGUUCACUCAAAAAUUAAAAUUCUUUCAUUAUUUAUUCACCCUCAAGUCUUUACAAACUCAUAUGACUUUGUUCUUUUGAUGAAUAUUCCUGGCUGAUCUUUUCGAAAUAAUGACAGUAAAUAAGGACUGGGGAUUCCAAGCUCCUAAAAUACAAAAGAAACACCAAAAAGUGUGCUAUAUUUAAAUUAUUUGUCAUAUGAUUGCUGUGUGCAAGGAACAGACACUGAUUUUUUUCUCCAAUGAACUGUGUCGAACUUAAGCACUGGAUCAGUCAAAUUUGUGAAUAAUUCAUUCUUUUUUUUCCCCCUGGAUAACCUGAAUCGUUGAAAAGAUUCAAACUAAUCCGAUGAAUCUUUUGUUCACAAAUCAGACAGUCACUGUCAGCAAAAUGGCAAAGAGAACUUUAAUGCUUUUAUGCGGCUUUUGUUUGUAAGUCCUCUCAUUAAAUCGAAACGAGCGGCCAGGAUAUUCUUCAAAAAUUCACCUUUUGUGUCACAUGAAAGAAAGAAACUCUUACGGGUUUUGAGCAAAUGACAUAAUUGUUUUUUUGGAUGAACUGCCCCUUUAAUAUUUCUUCCUUGCCAUAUCGGUGGACAGCACAUCUGUGUGUGUUUGUUUCAUGUGCGUGAGAGAGUUUGAGGACGACAGUUACAAACGUGUCAUCAAGAACUGCUUUCUUCUCUUGUCUUAACACACACUGUUGUGUUACUACAAAACAACCCGUUCAACCUUGUACUGUCUUUCACCCCGGGAUGGCAGAUGUCCCUCUCUGUCUCGGAUGUCGGCUGUACCUCAUAUGGUACAUCAUCAGUCCUGCAUCAUAAAUUCUGUGACAUCAUCAGUAUGUAAACCUGAGACCUGAAACAAUGACUGCACUUUCUCCCCUUCGGUUUUCAUUUGUCUUUUCUCGUACCUAUUUUUGCAUGUCGUUCACAAUCUCAUUUCGUAUAAAACGGCUCUUAACGAUGAACCACUUGAUUUGUAUCUGUAACGUCUGAACUAAUGUGACGUUUUUAUUGUUACAUAGACUUGCACCAUGUCUUUCAUCCAUUCGUUUUUGACUGACGUCUGUGUUUUUCUUUUACUCCUCCUUAAAGCCUUACUUCCUGGUGUGCAGGUUUUCACAGUAAUGUGUCCCCCCCAUGUUAAAUCAAGACGAGCCUUUUCUCCCUGCUGUUCAGGCUGAUUUACUGUAUCAGGGGUAGGUUGUAUAUUGUAUGAUACACACCUUUUGAUCUCAUAUGUAAAUUUGCAUUAAUUGCUGACUAACAGCAAAUAUUCUAUUUAAUUGCUUAUACAAUGGCUGUGGGAUCAUAAAUGUUUAACUGCAUGGAUGUUUCUCUGCAGAAUGAACUAGCAGCUGUGUGAUUUUUACACAAAA